GACGAACACUGGCGGCGUGCCUAAUACAUGCAAGUCGAACGAACCGCGACUGAGUGCUUGCACUUGGUCAAGGUGAGUGGCGAACGGGUGAGUAACACGUGGGUAACCUACCUCAUAGUGGGGGAUAACAGUCGGAAACGACUGCUAAUACCGCAUAGGACAUGGAAUCACAUGAUUCUGUGAGGAAAGGUGGCGCAAGCUAUCGCUAAGAGAUGGACCCGCGGUGCAUUAGCUAGUUGGUAGGGUAAGGGCCUACCAAGGCGAUGAUGCAUAGCCGACCUGAGAGGGUGAUCGGCCACAUUGGGACUGAGACACGGCCCAAACUCCUACGGGAGGCAGCAGUAGGGAAUCUUCCGCAAUGGACGCAAGUCUGACGGAACAACGCCGCGUGAGUGAAGAAGGUCUUCGGAUCGUAAAGCUCUGUUGUUAGAGAAGAACAGCGCAUAGAGUAACUGUUAUGCGUGUGACGGUAGCUAACCAGAAAGCCACGGCUAACUACGUG
Molecule: ribosomal RNA, 502 nt
Filed under: uncultured bacterium
Lineage: Bacteria
Description: partial 16S ribosomal RNA
Rfam family: Bacterial small subunit ribosomal RNA
Source: RNAcentral